This 460-nucleotide ribosomal RNA is filed under the name uncultured bacterium. RNAcentral describes it as "partial 16S ribosomal RNA". It matches the Rfam family "Bacterial small subunit ribosomal RNA", at positions 338 to 795 of the family's 1533-position model. The record is from RNAcentral.
CCUACGGGAGGCAGCAGUGAGGAAUAUUGGUCAAUGGCCGAGAGUCUGAACCAGCCAAGUAGCGUGAAGGAUGACUGUCCUAUGGGUUGUAAACUUCUUUUAUCUGGGAAUAAAGUGUUCCACGUGUGGGAUUUUGUAUGUACCAUAUGCAUAAGGAUCGGCUAACUCCGUGCCAGCAGCCGCGGUAAUACGGAGGAUCCGAGCGUUAUCCGGCUUUAUUGGGUUUAAAGGGUGCGUAGGUGGUUUGUUAAGUCAGUUGUGAAAGUUUGCGGCGCAACCGUAAAAUUGCAGUUGAAACGGGCAGUCUGGAGUAGAGUAGAGGUGUGCGGAAUUCGUGGUGUAGCGGUGAAAUGCAUAGAUAUCACGAAGAACUCCGAUUGCGAAGGCAGUACACUGGACUGCAACUGACGCUGAGGCUCGAAAGUGUGGGUAUCGAACAGGAUUAGAUACCCGAGUAGUC